ACGGGCGGUGUGUACAAGACCCGGGAACGUAUUCACCGCAGUAUGCUGACCUGCGAUUACUAGCGAUUCCGACUUCACGCAGGCGGGUUGCCGCCUGCGAUCCGAACUGAGAUCGGGUUUCUGGGGUUUGCUCUGCCUCGCGGCUUCGCUUCCCUCUGUUUGAUCACCAUUGUAGUACGUGUGUAGCCCAAGUCAUAAUGGGCAUGAUGAUUUGACGUCAUCCCCACCUUCCUCCGUUUUAUCAACGGCAGUCUCAUUAGAGUGCUCUUGCGUAGCAACUAAUGAUAAGGGUUGCGCUCGUUGCGGGACUUAACCCAACAUCUCACGACACGAGCUGACGACAACCAUGCACCACCUGUCUUCGCGUCCCGAAGGAAGAACUUAUCUCUAAGUUCGUCGCUCGAUGUCAAGACCUGGUAAGGUUCUUCGCGUUGCUUCGAAUUAAACCACAUACUCCACUGCUUGUGCGGGCCCCCGUCAAUUCCUUUGAGUUUCAACCUUGCGGUCGUACUCCCCAGGUGGAUUACUUAUUGUGUUAACUCCGGCACGG
Molecule: ribosomal RNA, 550 nt
Filed under: uncultured bacterium
Lineage: Bacteria
Description: partial 16S ribosomal RNA
Source: RNAcentral